This 249-nucleotide ribosomal RNA is filed under the name uncultured bacterium. RNAcentral describes it as "partial 16S ribosomal RNA". It matches the Rfam family "Bacterial small subunit ribosomal RNA", at positions 338 to 604 of the family's 1533-position model. The record is from RNAcentral.
CCUACGGGGGGCAGCAGUGGGGAAUAUUGUACAAUGGAGGAAACUAUGAUGCAGCGAUGCCGCGUGAGGGAAGAAGGUUUUCGGAUUGUAAACCUCUGUCUUAAGGGACGAUAAUGAAGGUACCUUAGGAGGAAGCUCCGGCUAACUACGUGCCAGCAGAAGCGGUAAUACGUAGGGAGCGAGCGUUGUCCGGAAUUACUGGGUGUAAAGAGAGUGUAGGCGGGAGGGUAAGGUAGGUGCGGAAUGAAG